CAGCAGCCACGGUAAUACGAAGGGUGCAAGCGUUACUCGGAAUUACUGGGCGUAAAGCGUGCGUAGGUGGUGGUUUAAGUCCGUUGUGAAAGCCCUGGGCUCAACCUGGGAAUUGCAGUGGAUACUGGAUCACUAGAGUGUGGUAGAGGAUAGUGGAAUUUCCGGUGUAGCAGUGAAAUGCGUGGAGAUCGGAAGGAACAUCUGUGGCGAAGGCGACUAUCUGGGCCAACACUGACACUGAGGCACGAAAGCGUGGGGAGCAAACAGGAUUAGAUACCCCUGUAGUCCCUGUCUCUUAUAC
Molecule: ribosomal RNA, 301 nt
Filed under: uncultured bacterium
Lineage: Bacteria
Description: partial 16S ribosomal RNA
Rfam family: Bacterial small subunit ribosomal RNA
Source: RNAcentral